UGGUCCUAACCCUAAAGUCAACUCGUAUUCAACUUACACAUGCAAGUUUCAGCACCCCCGUGAGAACGCCCUAAACCUCCUAUUUGGAGGAAGGAGCUGGUAUCAGGCACACUAUAUAGCCCAAAACACCUAGCUACGCCACAUCCUCAAGGAACCCUCAGCAGUGACCAAUAUUGAAAAUAUGCGACAGCAAGAUUCAGUUAGAGUACAGAGAGCCGGCAAAAUUGGUGCCAGCCGCCGCGGUUACACCAAUAGACUCUAGUUGACCCUAUCGGCGUAAAGCGUGAUUAAAGUUUUUUCCCCCCAUUAAAGAUGAAAUCCUCACUAAGCUGUGACACGCUUGUGCAUGAGAAAGCCAGAAACGAAAGUUACUUUAAUUUAACCCACUUGAAUUCACGACAGUUAAGACACAAACUGGGAUUAGAUACCCCACUAUGCUUAAUCGUAAACUUUAAAUUACAACAUAAACGCCAGAGAACUACGAGCAAAGCUUAAAACUCAAAGGACUUGACGGUACCCCACAUCCACCUAGAGGAGCCUGUCCUAUAAUCGAUAACCCCCGCUUUACCUCACCAUUUUUAGUUAGUCAGUCUGUAUACCUCCGUCGUCAGCUUACCACGUGAGCGAACCAUAGUAAGCCUAAUGCCAAUGCGCCAAUACGUCAGGUCAAGGUGCAACUAAAAAAAUGUGGAAGAGAUGGGCUACACUCUCUAAUUUAGAAAACACGAAAAACUUUAUGAAAUCUAGUUAGAAGGCGGAUUUAGCAGUAAAAAGAAACUAGAGAGUUCUUUUUAAUACGGCACUGGGGUGUGUACACACCGCCCGUCACCCUCUUCAAGACCCUAACUUCAUAGUAUCUAACUAAUUCCCUACUUUAAGAAGAGGUAAGUCGUAACAUGGUAAGUAUACCGGAAGGUGUGCUUGGAAA
RNAcentral lists this non-coding RNA (928 nucleotides) under Pithecopus megacephalus (large-headed leaf frog). RNAcentral's name for it is "partial 12S ribosomal RNA". It matches the Rfam family "Bacterial small subunit ribosomal RNA". The record is from RNAcentral. Lineage: Eukaryota; Metazoa; Chordata; Amphibia; Anura; Hylidae.